AGAGUUUGAUCAUGGCUCAGGAUGAACGCUAGCGGCAGGCUUAAUACAUGCAAGUUGAGGGGCAGCAUGAUAUACGCGAGUAUAUUGAUGGCGACCGGCGGACGGGUGAGUAAAAGGUAGGAGACCUACCUCAUACAGGGGGAUAGCAUAGAGAAAUCUGUGGUAAUACCCCAUGAGGUUAUAUGAAUAGAGGCAUAUAAUCAAAGUAUACGAGAGUAUGCGGUAUGAGAUGGGCCUACUGACCAUUAGCUAGUUGGUGAGGUAAGGGCUCACCAAGGCGAAGAUGGUUAGGGGUUUUGAGAGAGAGAUCCCCCACAUUGGAACUGAGAUACGGUCCAGACUCCUACGGGAGGCAGCAGUAGGGAAUAUUGGGCAAUGGGCGGAAGCCUGACCCAGCCAUGCCGCGUGAAGGAAGACGGCCUUAUGGGUUGUAAACUUCUUUACUAUACGAAUAGAGGUUAGUACGAGAUACUAAUAGGAAGGUAGUAUAGCAAAAAGCACCGGCUAACUCCGUGCCAGCAGCCGCGGUAAUACGGAGGGUGCAAGCGUUAUUCGGAAUUACUGGGUUUAAAGGGUGCGUAGGCGGUUAUAUAAGUUGUCAGUGAAAGGCUACGGCUCAACUGUAGUAGUGCUGGCGAUACUGUAUAGCUAAGAACAUGGGAGGGGUACCUGGAAUGUGUGGUGUAGCGGUGAAAUGCAUAGAUAUCACACAGAACACCGGAGGCGAAGGCGGGGUACUAGACCAUAGUUGACGCUGAGGCACGAAAGCGUGGGGAGCAAACAGGAUUAGAUACCCUGCUAGUCCACGCCCUAAACGAUGAUCACUAGAUAUUGGCGACAGACAGUCAGUGUCCAAGCGAAAGUGAUAAGUGAUCCACCUGGGGAAUACGGCGCAGGUAAAACUCAAUGAUUGACGG
This 917-nucleotide ribosomal RNA is filed under the name Bacteroidetes bacterium enrichment culture clone L55B-131. RNAcentral's name for it is "bacterial SSU rRNA". It matches the Rfam family "Bacterial small subunit ribosomal RNA", at positions 8 to 916 of the family's 1533-position model. The record is from RNAcentral. Lineage: Bacteria; Pseudomonadati; Bacteroidota.